This 468-nucleotide ribosomal RNA is filed under the name uncultured bacterium. RNAcentral describes it as "partial 16S ribosomal RNA". It matches the Rfam family "Bacterial small subunit ribosomal RNA", at positions 28 to 507 of the family's 1533-position model. The record is from RNAcentral.
GACGAACGCUGGCGGCGUGCUUAACACAUGCAAGUCGAACGGAAAGGCCCUGCUUUUGUGGGGUGCUCGAGUGGCGAACGGGUGAGUAACACGUGAGUAACCUGCCCUUGACUUUGGGAUAACUUCAGGAAACUGGGGCUAAUACCGGAUAGGAGCUCCUGCUGCAUGGUGGGGGUUGGAAAGUUUCGGCGGUUGGGGAUGGACUCGCGGCUUAUCAGCUUGUUGGUGGGGUAGUGGCUUACCAAGGCUUUGACGGGUAGCCGGCCUGAGAGGGUGACCGGCCACAUUGGGACUGAGAUACGGACCAGACUCCUACGGGAGGCAGCAGUGGGGAAUAUGGCACAAUGGGCGGAAGCCUGAGGAAGCAACGCCGCGUGCGGGAUGACGGCCUUCGGGUUGUAAACCGCUUUCGCCUGUGACGAAGCGUGAGUGACGGUAAUGGGUAAAGAAGCACCGGCUAACUACGUG